UGAACGCUAGCUACAGGCUUAACACAUGCAAGUCGAGGGGCAGCAUUUCAGUUUGCUUGCAAACUGGAGAUGGCGACCGGCGCACGGGUGAGUAACACGUAUCCAACCUGCCGAUAACUCGGGGAUAGCCUUUCGAAAGAAAGAUUAAUACCCGAUGGUAUAAUCAGACCGCAUGGUCUUGUUAUUAAAGAAUUUCGGUUAUCGAUGGGGAUGCGUUCCAUUAGGCAGUUGGUGAGGUAACGGCUCACCAAACCUUCGAUGGAUAGGGGUUCUGAGAGGAAGGUCCCCCACAUUGGAACUGAGACACGGUCCAAACUCCUACGGGAGGCAGCAGUGAGGAAUAUUGGUCAAUGGGCGCAGGCCUGAACCAGCCAAGUAGCGUGAAGGAUGACUGCCCUAUGGGUUGUAAACUUCUUUUAUAUGGGAAUAAAGUUUUCCACGUGUGGAAUUUUGUAUGUACCAUAUGAAUAAGGAUCGGCUAACUCCGUGCCAGCAGCCGCGGUAAUACGGAGGAUCCGAGCGUUAUCCGGAUUUAUUGGGUUUAAAGGGAGCGUAGGUGGACAGUUAAGUCAGUUGUGAAAGUUUGCGGCUCAACCGUAAAAUUGCAGUUGAUACUGGCUGUCUUGAGUACAGUAGAGGUGGGCGGAAUUCGUGGUGUAGCGGUGAAAUGCUUAGAUAUCACGAAGAACUCCGAUUGCGAAGGCAGCUCACUGGACUGCAACUGACACUGAUGCUCGAAAGUGUGGGUAUCAAACAGGAUUAGAUACCCUGGUAGUCCACACAGUAAACGAUGAAUACUCGCUGUUUGCGAUAUACAGUAAGCGGCCCAAGCGAAAGCAUUAAGUAUUCCACCUGGGGAGUACGCCGGCAACGGUGAAACUCAAAGGAAUUGACGGGGGCCCGCACAAGCGGAGGAACAUGUGGUUUAAUUCGAUGAUACGCGAGGAACCUUACCCGGGCUUAAAUUGCAUUUGAAUAUAUUGGAAACAGUAUAGCCGUAAGGCAAAUGUGAAGGUGCUGCAUGGUUGUCGUCAGCUCGUGCCGUGAGGUGUCGGCUUAAGUGCCAUAACGAGCGCAACCCUUAUCUUUAGUUACUAACAGGUCAUGCUGAGGACUCUAGAGAGACUGCCGUCGUAAGAUGUGAGGAAGGUGGGGAUGACGUCAAAUCAGCACGGCCCUUACGUCCGGGGCUACACACGUGUUACAAUGGGGGGUACAGAAGGCAGCUACCUGGUGACAGGAUGCUAAUCCCAAAAGCCUCUCUCAGUUCGGAUCGAAGUCUGCAACCCGACUUCGUGAAGCUGGAUUCGCUAGUAAUCGCGCAUCAGCCAUGGCGCGGUGAAUACGUUCCCGGGCCUUGUACACACCGCCCGUCAAGCCAUGAAAGCCGGGGGUACCUGAAGUACGUAACCGCAAGGAGCGUCCUAGGGUAAAACUGGUAAUUGGGGCUAAGUC
This 1455-nucleotide ribosomal RNA is filed under the name uncultured organism. Its description in RNAcentral is "SSU rRNA". It matches the Rfam family "Bacterial small subunit ribosomal RNA". The record is from RNAcentral.